Molecule: ribosomal RNA, 468 nt
Filed under: uncultured bacterium
Lineage: Bacteria
Description: partial 16S ribosomal RNA
Rfam family: Bacterial small subunit ribosomal RNA
Source: RNAcentral
GACGAACGCUGGCGGCGUGCUUAACACAUGCCAGUCGAACGGAAAGGCCCUGCUUUUGUGGGGUGCUCGAGUGGCGAACGGGUGAGUAACACGUGAGUAACCUGCCCUUGACUUUGGGAUAACUUCAGGAAACUGGGGCUAAUACCGGAUAGGAGCUCCUGCUGCAUGGUGGGGGUUGGAAAGUUUCGGCGGUUGGGGAUGGACCCGCGGCUUAUCAGCUUGUUGGUGGGGUAGUGGCUUACCAAGGCUUUGACGGGUAGCCGGCCUGAGAGGGUGACCGGCCACAUUGGGACUGAGAUACGGCCCAGACUCCUACGGGAGGCAGCAGUGGGGAAUAUUGCACAAUGGGCGGAAGCCUGAUGCAGCAACGCCGCGUACGGGAUGACGGCCUUCGGGUUGUAAACCGCUUUCGCCUGUGACGAAGCGUGAGUGACGGUAAUGGGUAAAGAAGCACCAGCUAACUACGUG